This 233-nucleotide long non-coding RNA is filed under the name Capsicum annuum. RNAcentral describes it as "long non-coding RNA (CANN_LNC013272)". The record is from RNAcentral. Lineage: Eukaryota; Viridiplantae; Streptophyta; Magnoliopsida; Solanales; Solanaceae.
CAUGGACAGAUUCGAAUUUACUUAAAUUUUAAGGGCAAUAUGGUCAUUUUCCAUCACCUCAUGGACGAAAAUUAGUCAUUAUAUACAUAUACUUAGCCUCAUAUCCAUCAUUUAUCAUCCAAAUUAUUGAAGAAUAAGAAAUCCUAGCCUAAGUUCAACUCCAAUUAUCUUGUGAUUCAACCGUAGAAAAUCCAAAUUGAUUCCGUAAUUGUGUUCACCGUCUCGAGGGCUUC